This 715-nucleotide ribosomal RNA is filed under the name uncultured Rhodocyclaceae bacterium. Its description in RNAcentral is "bacterial SSU rRNA". It matches the Rfam family "Bacterial small subunit ribosomal RNA", at positions 8 to 715 of the family's 1533-position model. Lineage: Bacteria; Pseudomonadati; Pseudomonadota; Betaproteobacteria; Rhodocyclales; Rhodocyclaceae. The record is from RNAcentral.
AGAGUUUGAUCAUGGCUCAGAUUGAACGCUGGCGGCAUGCCUUACACAUGCAAGUCGAACGCGAAAGUAGGGGCAACCCUGCGAGUAGAGUGGCGAACGGGUGAGUAACACAUCGGAACGUACCCAGGAGUGGGGGACAACCUCGAGAAAUCGAGGCUAAUACCGCAUACGUCCUGAGGGAGAAAGCGGGGGAUUCGCAAGGACCUCGCGCUCAUGGAGCGGCCGAUGUCGGAUUAGCUAGUUGGCGGGGUAAAAGCCCACCAAGGCUACGAUCCGUAGCUGGUUUGAGAGAACGACCAGCCACACUGGGACUGAGACACGGCCCAGACUCCUACGGGAGGCAGCAGUGGGGAAUUUUGGACAAUGGGGGAAACCCUGAUCCAGCCAUGCCGCGUGAGUGAAGAAGGCCUUCGGGUUGUAAAGCUCUUUCGGCCGGAACGAAAUCGCGUACGUGAAUAACGUGCGUGGAUGACGGUACUGGAAGAAGAAGCACCGGCUAACUACGUGCCAGCAGCCGCGGUAAUACGUAGGGUGCGAGCGUUAAUCGGAAUUACUGGGCGUAAAGCGUGCGCAGGCGGUUCUGCAAGUCAGAUGUGAAAUCCCCGGGCUUAACCUGGGAACUGCGUUUGAAACUACGGAGCUAGAGUACGGCAGAGGGGGGUGGAAUUCCACGUGUAGCAGUGAAAUGCGUAGAUAAGUGGAGGAACACCGAUGG